RNAcentral lists this ribosomal RNA (345 nucleotides) under Seriola rivoliana (Almaco jack). RNAcentral's name for it is "partial 12S ribosomal RNA". It matches the Rfam family "Bacterial small subunit ribosomal RNA", at positions 1036 to 1533 of the family's 1533-position model. Lineage: Eukaryota; Metazoa; Chordata; Actinopteri; Carangiformes; Carangidae. The record is from RNAcentral.
GCCUAUAUACCACCGUCGUCAGCUUACCCUGUGAAGGACGAAUAGUAAGCACAAUUGGCACAGCCCAAUACGUCAGGUCGAGGUGUAGUGCAUGAGAGGGGAAGAAAUGGGCUACAUUCGCUAGCAACUAGCGAAUACGAAUGAUGUGUUGAAAUACACAGCUGAAGGAGGAUUUAGCAGUAAGCAAGAAGCAGAGUGUCUUGCUGAAACCGGCUCUAAAGCGCGCACACACCGCCCGUCACCCUCCCCAAGCUCCCCGGACCAUCUUUAACUAAAGCCCUACAACUGCAAAGGAGAGGAAAGUCGUAACAUGGUAAGCGUACCGGAAGGUGCGCUUGGUAAAAU